This 577-nucleotide ribosomal RNA is filed under the name Prestwichia aquatica. RNAcentral describes it as "eukaryotic LSU rRNA". It matches the Rfam family "Eukaryotic large subunit ribosomal RNA", at positions 389 to 740 of the family's 3401-position model. Lineage: Eukaryota; Metazoa; Arthropoda; Insecta; Hymenoptera; Trichogrammatidae. The record is from RNAcentral.
UCAAGAGUACGUGAAACCGUUCAGGGGUAAACCUGAGAAACCCAAAAGAUCGAAUGGGGAGAUUCAUCGUCAGCCGAGUUGGCUUGCGUGUGGCUCGCGAUGCUUGUCGUUUGGCGACGGGCACGCGGCGCUGCGUCAUGUCCAGCGCGGUCGGCGUGCACUUCUCCCCUGGUAGGACGUCGCGACCCGUUGAGUGUCGUCUACGGCCCGCGAGGUUGCCUGUCGCGGCGCGUUCGCGCGCUCGCGGCAGACCCGCGUCGCCCGGCCGACUGCUCGGCGGUAGAGAUCGCUUCACGGUAAUGGGCCGCACUGCGUGCGUUAGGCUCGUCGGCAGGUAAGCCUCGCUCGGAUACGGACCUAGUGCCGUUGUCGGGUGCUUGGCCGGCCUUAGUCGACGAUGUCCUCGGACGGGCUCGUUCAAGAAUUACGCUACCGGUCAGCGACGCUACUGCUUUGGGUACUUUCAGGACCCGUCUUGAAACACGGACCAAGGAGUCUAACAUGUGCGCGAGUCAUUGGGACUUAAAGCCUAAAGGCGCAAUGAAAGUGAAGGUCCGCUUAUGCGACCGAGGGAGGA